AACCGUGGGAAACUACGGCUAAUACCGCAUGAUGCCUGAGGGCCAAAGACGAAAGUCGUUUGAGGAGGAGCCUGCGUCUGAUUAGGUAGUUGGUGGGGUAAAGGCCUACCAAGCCUGCGAUCAGUAGCUGGUCUGAGAGGAUGAUCAGCCACAUUGGGACUGAGACACGGCCCAAACUCCUACGGGAGGCAGCAGUGGGGAAUAUUGGACAAUGGGCGAAAGCCUGAUCCAGCAAUGCCGCGUGUGUGAAGAAGGUCUUCGGAUUGUAAAGCACUUUUGGCAGGGACGAUGAUGACGGUACCUGCAGAAUAAGCCCCGGCUAACUUCGUG
RNAcentral lists this ribosomal RNA (330 nucleotides) under uncultured bacterium. RNAcentral's name for it is "bacterial SSU rRNA". It matches the Rfam family "Bacterial small subunit ribosomal RNA", at positions 145 to 507 of the family's 1533-position model. The record is from RNAcentral.